RNAcentral lists this ribosomal RNA (482 nucleotides) under uncultured bacterium. RNAcentral's name for it is "bacterial SSU rRNA". It matches the Rfam family "Bacterial small subunit ribosomal RNA", at positions 29 to 506 of the family's 1533-position model. The record is from RNAcentral.
UUGAACGCUGGCGGCAUGCUUUACACAUGCAAGUCGAACGGCAGCGGGGGCUUCGGCCUGCCGGCGAGUGGCGAACGGGUGAGUAAUGCAUCGGAACGUACCCAGUCGUGGGGGAUAACUACGCGAAAGCGUGGCUAAUACCGCAUACGCCCUGAGGGGGAAAGCGGGGGACCUUCGGGCCUCGCGCGAUUGGAGCGGCUGAUGUCGGAUUAGCUGGUUGGUGGGGUAAAGGCCUACCAAGGCGACGAUCCGUAGCUGGUCUGAGAGGAUGAUCAGCCACACUGGGACUGAGACACGGCCCAGACUCCUACGGGAGGCAGCAGUGGGGAAUUUUGGACAAUGGGGGCAACCCUGAUCCAGCCAUGCCGCGUGAGUGAAGAAGGCCUUCGGGUUGUAAAGCUCUUUCGGCCGGAACGAAAUCGCGUACGUGAAUAACGUGCGUGGAUGACGGUACUGGAAGAAGAAGCACCGGCUAACUACGU